Molecule: ribosomal RNA, 493 nt
Filed under: uncultured bacterium
Lineage: Bacteria
Description: bacterial SSU rRNA
Rfam family: Bacterial small subunit ribosomal RNA
Source: RNAcentral
AGACACGGCCCAGACUCCUACGGGAGGCAGCAGUAGGGAAUCUUCCGCAAUGGACGAAAGUCUGACGGAGCAACGCCGCGUGAACGAUGAAGGCCUUCGGGUCGUAAAGUUCUGUUGUUAGGGAAGAAUAAGUACCAGAGUAACUGCUGGUACCUUGACGGUACCUAACCAGAAAGCCACGGCUAACUACGUGCCAGCAGCCGCGGUAAUACGUAGGUGGCAAGCGUUGUCCGGAAUUAUUGGGCGUAAAGCGCGCGCAGGCGGUUUCUUAAGUCUGAUGUGAAAGCCCACGGCUCAACCGUGGAGGGUCAUUGGAAACUGGGGAACUUGAGUGCAGAAGAGGAGAGUGGAAUUCCACGUGUAGCGGUGAAAUGCGUAGAGAUGUGGAGGAACACCAGUGGCGAAGGCGACUCUCUGGUCUGUAACUGACGCUGAGGCGCGAAAGCGUGGGGAGCGAACAGGAUUAGAUACCCUGGUAGUCCACGCCGUAAAC